RNAcentral lists this unclassified non-coding RNA (336 nucleotides) under soil metagenome. Its description in RNAcentral is "partial contains 5.8S ribosomal RNA, internal transcribed spacer 2, and large subunit ribosomal RNA". The stretch from base 1 to 120 matches the Rfam family "5.8S ribosomal RNA", at positions 35 to 154 of the family's 154-position model. The record is from RNAcentral.
GAUGAAGAACGCAGCGAAAUGCGAUAAGUAAUGUGAAUUGCAGAAUUCAGUGAAUCAUCGAAUCUUUGAACGCACAUUGCGCCCGCCAGUAUUCUAGCGGGCAUGCCUGUUCGAGCGUCAUUUCAACCAUCAAGCCCCAGGCUUGUGUUGGGGACCUGCGGCUGCCGCAGGCCCUGAAAACCAGUGGCGGGCUCGCUGUCACACCGGGCGUAGUAGAUUUUAUCUCGCUCAGGGCGUGCUGCGGGUUCCGGCCGUUAAAAAGCCUUUUUUACCCAAGGUUGACCUCGGAUCAGGUAGGAAGACCCGCUGAACUUAAGCAUAUCAAUAAGCGGAGGA